GACGAACGCUGGCGGCGUGCUUAACACAUGCAAGUCGAACGGAAAGGCCCAGCUUUUGUGGGGUGCUCGAGUGGCGAACGGGUGAGUAACACGUGAGUAACCUGCCCUUGACUAUGGGAUAACUUCAGGAAACUGGGGCUAAUACCGGAUAGGAGCUCCUGCGGCAUGGUGGGGGUUGGAAAGUUUCGGCGGUUGGGGUUGGACUCGCGGCUUAUCAGCUUGUUGGUGGGGUAGUGGCUUACGAAGGCUUUGACGGGUAGCCGGCCUGAGAGGGUGACCGGCCACAUUGGGCCUGAGGUACGGCCCAUACUCCUACGGGAGGCAGCAGUGGGGAAUAUUGCACAAUGGGCGGAAGCCUGAUGCAGCAACGCCGCGUGCGGGAUGACGGCCUUCGGGUUGUAAACCGCUUUCGCCUGUGACGAAGCGUGAGUGACGGUAAUGGGUAAAGAAGCACCGGCUAACUACGUG
This 468-nucleotide ribosomal RNA is filed under the name uncultured bacterium. Its description in RNAcentral is "partial 16S ribosomal RNA". It matches the Rfam family "Bacterial small subunit ribosomal RNA", at positions 28 to 507 of the family's 1533-position model. The record is from RNAcentral.